This 609-nucleotide ribosomal RNA is filed under the name Actinomycetales bacterium A242. Its description in RNAcentral is "bacterial SSU rRNA". It matches the Rfam family "Bacterial small subunit ribosomal RNA", at positions 41 to 669 of the family's 1533-position model. The record is from RNAcentral. Lineage: Bacteria; Bacillati; Actinomycetota; Actinomycetes; Actinomycetales.
GGCGUGCUUAACACAUGCAAGUCGAACGAUGAAGCCCUUCGGGGUGGAUUAGUGGCGAACGGGUGAGUAACACGUGGGCAAUCUGCCCUUCACUCUGGGACAAGCCCUGGAAACGGGGUCUAAUACCGGAUAUCACUCUCGCAGGCAUCUGUGAGGGUCGAAAGCUCCGGCGGUGAAGGAUGAGCCCGCGGCCUAUCAGCUUGUUGGUGAGGUAAUGGCUCACCAAGGCGACGACGGGUAGCCGGCCUGAGAGGGCGACCGGCCACACUGGGACUGAGACACGGCCCAGACUCCUACGGGAGGCAGCAGUGGGGAAUAUUGCACAAUGGGCGAAAGCCUGAUGCAGCGACGCCGCGUGAGGGAUGACGGCCUUCGGGUUGUAAACCUCUUUCAGCAGGGAAGAAGCGAAAGUGACGGUACCUGCAGAAGAAGCGCCGGCUAACUACGUGCCAGCAGCCGCGGUAAUACGUAGGGCGCAAGCGUUGUCCGGAAUUAUUGGGCGUAAAGAGCUCGUAGGCGGCUUGUCACGUCGGGUGUGAAAGCCCGGGGGUUAACCCCGGUUCUGCAUUCGAUACGGGCUAGCUAGAGUGUGGUAGGGAGAUCGAAUGC